Molecule: non-coding RNA, 2577 nt
Organism: Camellia sinensis
Lineage: Eukaryota; Viridiplantae; Streptophyta; Magnoliopsida; Ericales; Theaceae
Source: RefSeq, a predicted model, not a curated record
UUUAUUAUUGGCGACUAAAAAAGUUAGUCGGGAAAGAAAAUAAACUAGGUUUAAGAAAUACACUCCCACACGCUCUAACUCUCUCAUACAUCUAUGUCUGUCUCUCACUCUGUGACUCUCUCUUUCUCUCUCACGCCUCUGCUCUCCUCCGGCUCUCUCUCUCUCUCUCGCUUUUGUCUCCAUCGUUAACGGAGCAUCACCGCCAUUGCACACGAGCACCACCUUCAAUCCACCAUUGGAGCAUUACCCCAGAAACUAGUGGACCCAACAAAGAUCGAUCGCUAGGUUGUCGUGAACUUUUCAGCUCGCUGCAAUAUCCAUGGCCUUGUUAGGGAUUUGAUCAAAUGUGGAGACAUGAAGGGAAUUCAAAUUGAUGCUCUGUUCGAUGCAUUUGAAGAGAGUCCACAAUAUAGGCGGGCCCCACCUCUUGUUAGAGUGGAAAAAAUGUUUGAAGAUAUACAAUCCAAACUUCCUGGGGCUCCUCAAUUUCUUCUCUGUCUACUUCUAGAGAGGAAGAACUUUGAUCUAUAUGGUUUGUUUGAUUUGAUUUAUUCCUUUAUCACACUUUUUCUUUUUUCUUUUUUUCUUUUACUAGCCAUUACAACAGAUAGUACUUUUAAUAACAUAUUUUUAUAGCCUUUUUUUAUUAAAAUGUUAUUAAUUAUGGAGCAUUUAUAGCAUUUUGUGAUUAAAUGACUUGAGGUGCUAACAUUAGAUAUUUGUAGCAUUGAAUUGUAAUUUUUAAUAACCUUUUAUAAAUGUUGUGAAAAAUUACACAGAUUAAGGAUUAAUGGCAUUUAAAAAAUGUUGUCGUUGGGAUAAUAUAUACAAAAAAAAAAGAAGUUAUAUUGAACCCAUAAAAAAAACAUUAUAUUGAAAAACCAAAAAAGUUCGGCGCGAAAAUAUCGCACACCUAGAUUAGAGAUAGAAACCUACUACAAGUCAGGUUCCUAAUUUCGCUCAUUAUGGACUAUGAGCAAUCACAGUGCUAGGGCUUCGAUACAAGUUGAAGGUAAUUCUCUCUCUAUCUAUAUCGCUCGAUUUAUAUACGUAUAAACACAUCUAUAUACUUAUUAGUUUUGUUUUGAUAGGAAGCCUCUAAAAAUCAUCAACCAAUCUCAAGUGAAAUAGAGAGAAGAAACAAUUCGAGAAUCAAAUUGGCAAAGUUCGGGAGAAGAGUCAAAUUCUGAAUCAGACUCUGGUGGUGAAUAGAGUUCAGCAAGUCCAUCAUCUGAAAGUGUGCUUGAUUCUUCUUCAGAGAUUGCUUGAAGAAUCUACUGUUGGAGAUGAUCAUCAAGUGCCAUCUCAUUUAGUUUUUGCUAGAUUUCUUCUUUAUAGCGAUUAGCAUAGUGACCUGUUUGUCUACAUUUGUAACAUGUUAUUGUGGAUUUAUCUUUCUUUUUAUAAGAUUUUCUCUAUUUGCCUUUAUAAGAUUUGUGAGGCGGAUUUAGCUGAUAGCUCUGUUUGGGAGUUUUAUAUUUUAUGUAUUUUUUGGAAUAAUAUUUUGAAGGUUUUCCAAAUUUUUGCUUUCUAGAUUUAGUAGGAUACUGGAUUUUAGUAUCAUAGGCAAAUUGUUCACAGAAUUCACCUAAUUCCUUUUUGCCUGUAAGAUUUUGCUUUUUCAUUUAAUACUGGAGUUUGAGAUCAUUACAUAAAGGAAGACCUUCUUCGGUUACUAUGCCUAUUAGCUGGCCAUAGGUGUAUUCUGCAUACGGUAUGGUCAUUCUAUUAUAAUAACCCUGUAAUUUCUUUCUAACUCUUUCAGCAAAAAGACUAGGAAGGCCGUCAAUAAAUUUAGCUUUCCAAUGUUCACUGUUAGCAUCAGAUUGACACACUACUUUCAUUAGGAAAACAUCUUUAUACCAUUUGAAAUGGGUUAGAGAUGGACAUCUAAGAUUCUGUAAAAGUUCUCUGCUCCUAUCAUUAGCACCAUCAUCAUAUCCUACGAAAUGAUGUACGAUAGUGUGGAUAAGUGUAUACACUGCAUCUUGUGUUUGUUCUGGAUGUCCUGUUAAAGGAUCGGUAUGGAUUUUAACUGAAUUUAAAAUUUCAUUUUGUUGGGUAACAGUUAGGAUAUUAUCCUACCAUCCUUUAAGGACUCCUGUAAAGCCAUUAACAAUAAAUAUGGCUAUUUGAUGGUCUGUAUUGUCAUUCUGUUGACUUACUAUAGAGUACAUCAUCAUUUGAUGUAGCAGUUCAAAUAACUGGUAUUCAGACAUCCUAUCCAGAUUCCAUUCAUAAAUAGUUUUACCAUGGUAAGACCUUUGAGUUUGAAUGAAAUCUUCUUCAUAAUGGGUAUCCAUAGGAGUAGGCCUUGGGUAGUAAUGCCUACUAGGUCCUGUUAAGGCCAUCCUAUUGGUGCCUUUUCCAUAAUUAAUCUUAUUAAUUGAGGGGGCAUCCUAAAAAUUAUUUUGGAUUUCUGCAAUUUGAGACGGUGAUAUAGCUUGAUCACUAUCUUCGUGUUGUUAUGGAUUGUGGGAACUUUGUUGUCUGGACAACAUAUUUAUUUGUGAGGAAUCCCCUAUUUUAAUAUCUUUAAUCUUUUUAACUAGGGCUUCCAUAAAUUCAUUAUCCUGU